GAUGAACGCUAGCUACAGGCUUAACACAUGCAAGUCGAGGGGUAACGAGAGGAAAGCUUGCUUUCCUUGUCGACGACCGGCGCACGGGUGAGUAACGCGUAUCCAACCUGCCCCCAACUAAGGAAUAACCUUGCGAAAGUAAGACUAAUACCUUAUAAUUUCCUCAGAUGUCAUCUGACGAGGAAUAAAGAUUUAUCGGUUGUGGAUGAGGAUGCGUCUGAGUAGCUUGUUGGCGGGGUAACGGCCCACCAAGGCAACGAUCAGUAGGGGUUGGGAGAGGAAGGUCCCCCACAUUGGAACUGAGACACGGUCCAAACUCCUACGGGAGGCUGCAGUGAGGAAUAUUGGUCAAUGGGCGGAAGCCUGAACCAGCCAGGUAGCGUGCAGGAUGACGGCCCUAUGGGUUGUAAACUGCUUUUAUACAGGAAUAAAGUCAGCCACGUGUGGUUAUUUGUAGGUACUGUAUGAAUAAGGACCGGCUAAUUCCGUGCCAGCCGCCGCAGUAA
RNAcentral lists this ribosomal RNA (506 nucleotides) under uncultured bacterium. RNAcentral describes it as "partial 16S ribosomal RNA". It matches the Rfam family "Bacterial small subunit ribosomal RNA", at positions 28 to 523 of the family's 1533-position model. The record is from RNAcentral.